UCUCUCCGAGACGGAUCCCGAGUAGUGCGGGGCACGUGAAACCCCGUAUGAAUCUGCCAGGACCAUCUGGUAAGGCUAAAUACUCCCUAGCGACCGAUAGUGAAGCAGUACCGUGAGGGAAAGGUGAAAAGGACCCCGGAAGGGGAGUGAAAUAGAACCUGAAACCGUGUGCUUACAAAAAGUCAGAGCCCUAUGAAUGGGUGAUGGCGUGCCUUUUGUAGAAUGAACCGGCGAGUUACGUUCCCGUGCAAGGUUAAGGUGAAAAGCCGGAGCCGCAGCGAAAGCGAGUCUGAAUAGGGCGACUAAGUACGUGGACGUAGACCCGAAACCAGGUGAUCUACCCCUGUCCAGGGUGAAGGUACGGUAACACGUACUGGAGGCCCGAACCCACGCACGUUGAAAAGUGCGGGGAUGAGGUGGGGGUAGCGGAGAAAUUCCAAUCGAACCUGGAGAUAGCUGGUUCUCCCCGAAAUAGCUUUAGGGCUAGCCUCGGAAGUUGAGUCGUGGAGGUAGAGCACUGAUUGGAUGCGGGGCCCGCAAGGGUUACCAAGUUCAGUCAAACUCCGAAUGCCACAGACUUUAUUCCGGGAGUCAGACAGUGAGUGCUAAGAUCCAUUGUCGAAAGGGAAACAGCCCAGACCAUCAGCUAAGGUCCCCAAGUGUGUGUUAAGUGGGAAAGGAUGUGAAGUUGCACAGACAACCAGGAUGUUGGCUUAGAAGCAGCCACCAUUGAAAGAGUGCGUAAUAGCUCACUGGUCGAGUGACUUUGCGCCGAAAAUGUAACGGGGCUAAACACACCACCGAAGCUAUGGCUUGAUACUUUGUAUCAGGGGUAGGGGAGCGUUGAAUGAAGAUUGAAGGUGUACCGCAAGGAGCGCUGGACCUCAUUCAAGUGAGAAUGCCGGUAUGAGUAACGAAAAGAUCAGUGAGAAUCUGAUCCGCCGAAAACCCAAGGAUUCCUGAGGAAGGCUCGUCCUCUCAGGGUAAGUCGGGACCUAAGGCGAGGCCGAAAGGCGUAGUCGACGGACAACAGGUUGAAAUUCCUGUACCACCGAAAGCCGUUAUGAGCAAUGGGAUGACGCAGGAGGAUAGUGACGCGGACUGAUGGAUGUCCGUUCAAGCAGUGAGGCUGAUAUGUAGGCAAAUCCGCAUA
RNAcentral lists this ribosomal RNA (1153 nucleotides) under Paenibacillus sp. CFBP13512. Its description in RNAcentral is "partial 23S ribosomal RNA". It matches the Rfam family "Bacterial large subunit ribosomal RNA", at positions 391 to 1548 of the family's 2925-position model. The record is from RNAcentral. Lineage: Bacteria; Bacillati; Bacillota; Bacilli; Caryophanales; Paenibacillaceae.